GAUGAAGAACGUAGCGAAAUGCGAUAAGUAAUGUGAAUUGCAGAAUUCAGUGAAUCAUCGAAUCUUUGAACGCACAUUGCGCCCCUUGGUAUUCCGAGGGGCAUGCCUGCUCGAGCGUCAUUAUAACCCCUCAAGCUCAGCUUGGUGUUGGGGCCUGCUGCACUGGCAGCCCUUAAAAUCAGUGGCGGCGCCAUCUGGCUCUAAGCGUAGUAAUUCUUCUCGCUAUGGAGUCCUGGUGGAUGCUUGCCAUCAACCCCCAAUUUUUCUAUGGUUGACCGCGGAUCAGGUAGGGAUACCCGCUGAACUUAAGCAUAUCAAUAAGCGGAGGA
This 329-nucleotide unclassified non-coding RNA is filed under the name soil metagenome. RNAcentral describes it as "partial contains 5.8S ribosomal RNA, internal transcribed spacer 2, and large subunit ribosomal RNA". The stretch from base 1 to 120 matches the Rfam family "5.8S ribosomal RNA", at positions 35 to 154 of the family's 154-position model. The record is from RNAcentral.